UAUAUAUAUAUAUAUAUAUAUAUAUAUAUGUAUAUAUAUAUAUAUAUAUAUAUAUAUAUGUAUAUAUAUAUAUAUAUAUAUAUAUAUAUAUAUAUAUAUAUAUAUAUAUAUAUGGACUUUACGUAUUUUAUUAGGAUUAGGGAUGUAGAAUAUGGUCAUGCAGAAUAUGUGCUUUAUAAGUAUAUAUAAACAGCCAAUAUGCUUAUAAUAUGAAUACUAAUAGCAACUAGUUAAUAUAAGAGUUGGUCCCUAUACUAAAGUGUAUAGCCCAUGUAUUUAUUUAUUUAUUUUGGAGAGUAGCAUGUUAUACAAUACUUGCAUAUAAUGCUGUAGGCUACAUUGUAACAUCAUUGUAAAUGACCCUCAUGUCUCUGUUCUGUCAUUAAUUCAAUUAAUAAUAAUGACUUGUAUCCAUCACGCCACACUCAAUAUAAACAUUAUCAUAUUAACCUCCAAAAAUCUAUUCUCAUUCUAUCAACAUAAUUAAUUUAGCCUGCAAGUGGGGGUUAUCUGAAUAAUUGACACCAACUCUAAGAUAUGAAAUAUUCAUAUUCUCCCUGCGUGCCUGUAAUAUGAUUGUGAAUAGCAGGUGUCUCCUUCCAAAUGACUUUUGGACCGGGCAGGAGGGUGGCAUGUCUGCAAUACUCGGGACCUCCGGUGUUGAGCACUGACCUUCAUGCGGUGGUCCAUCUUCACAGUUGAGUUCAUGCAUCGUCUCAGCAACACAGACACGCUGGUCAUAUAUCUUUGUUUUGUGCCAGGUCUCGCACUCAGCAACUCUGAGGGAAGCACCAUUAGGUAUAAUGCUCUCUCUCUCUCUCUCUCUCUCUCUCUCUCUCCAUUUUGGCAGCCAAUAUCCAAUGGAUAUUUAGAGAGGAACAUGACUGUGGGAUGGUGGCUGUGGCAGAGGGAGAAUAAAUUGGUUUCCUUUUGUUGGAGUAUAACAAAGAGAUCUAAACACAUAGUGUUGAGCCGGAUCAGGAAUGGCAGAAAGCCAAUACAAACUCAUGUCUGGAGUCCCAGAUCAGUGAGUUAUUUUACUGGGGGCCAUUAUUGUUCCUUUAUGUGAAAUCAAUAAGCCCCUGUGGAAUAAAACGCUUGACCUAAAGAUAUGCUUUCUUUCUCCCUUCACUAUUUUAGGUGGAGGAGAAUCGUAAGCCACAGAUAUUUAGGUAAGAUACAAGUUAAUCACUAAAGAUGUUUUGAUCCUUGCUG
Cyprinus carpio carpio is the source of this 1215-nucleotide long non-coding RNA. The record is from Ensembl. Lineage: Eukaryota; Metazoa; Chordata; Actinopteri; Cypriniformes; Cyprinidae.